RNAcentral lists this long non-coding RNA (636 nucleotides) under Cyanistes caeruleus (blue tit). RNAcentral's name for it is "lncRNA (ENSCCEG00000004810.1)". Lineage: Eukaryota; Metazoa; Chordata; Aves; Passeriformes; Paridae. The record is from RNAcentral.
CAAGAAAAUGAAAGCUGUGCUGUGAGAAAACAGCUGUUUAGGAAGAUCCUUUUAAACAUAGAUGCCGGCAUACUGCUGGGAGCUUGGCUCUUUUUAAUGUUUUGCUACUGCCUUUUGAUUUAUUAUGUGUUCCGUUCUCCCCUGGCCCCCUGCCCACCAUUUCAAAAUGAAUGAAAGAGAUUAGCUGCGACAACAGCAUGGGGAAUGUGUGCACGAAAGAGUUCUCAGGCUUGCCACUUAAACAUGGAGUCAGAAAAGGUGUUCUUGGGGGAUGCAGGAGGAAAAGAUCUUCCUUAUUUGCUCAUUUUCAGGUUACUGUUUCAUAACCUCCUCCAAGCAAGGUGAGUUACAACCUUAGGCAUCCCUCUAACUUUAUGUCUCCCUCUGUCAUUAACCUUCCAUCUGGCUGAGCACUGCAAUACUGCAGCUGGGAAAAUCAUAUCAUUAGGUUGCAAAAGCAGUAAGUUCCUGCACUAGAGAGCCACGGGGUGGCUUCUGAAGCACUGGGUGAUUAAUAAUUAAUAUGUAAUUGUUGGAUAAUCUGUUUAGACAGUCCAAGUGUAGGAAAUAUAUUUUUUCUGGAGAAUGCUGCUACUAAAAUAAUAAAAUUUUAACAAGCCCCCUCUUGUUAUAACA